AGAAUUCGGAGCGGCACCUCCUCCUCCCAAAUAGCCGCUUCGAUGUGACUGGUGUUCAUCCUCCUCCCGAGCAUCAGUCUCCCAAAAUGACGCCCACCGGAUCCUCCUCCCCCGGUGGGCGUUAUUU
This is a small RNA of Hoeflea sp. IMCC20628, 127 nucleotides long. It matches the Rfam family "Alphaproteobacterial ar14". Rfam says of the family: Smr14C2 was renamed NfeR1 (Nodule Formation Efficiency RNA) highly expressed in salt stress and during the symbiotic interaction on legume roots. The record is from Rfam. NCBI's taxonomy places the organism in Bacteria, Pseudomonadati, Pseudomonadota, Alphaproteobacteria, Hyphomicrobiales, Rhizobiaceae.